GGUAAGAUGGCCGAGUGGUCUAAGGCGCCAGGUUCAGGUUAACCUGAACUAGUAAUUCCUGGUCCAGGUAACUGGGCGUGGGUUCGAAUCCCACUCUUAUCA
This 102-nucleotide transfer RNA is filed under the name Scedosporium apiospermum. It matches the Rfam family "tRNA". Rfam says of the family: Transfer RNA (tRNA) molecules are approximately 80 nucleotides in length. Their secondary structure includes four short double-helical elements and three loops (D, anti-codon, and T loops). The record is from Rfam by way of RNAcentral. Lineage: Eukaryota; Fungi; Ascomycota; Sordariomycetes; Microascales; Microascaceae.